This 406-nucleotide ribosomal RNA is filed under the name uncultured bacterium. RNAcentral describes it as "partial 16S ribosomal RNA". It matches the Rfam family "Bacterial small subunit ribosomal RNA", at positions 30 to 526 of the family's 1533-position model. The record is from RNAcentral.
AUUGAACGCUGGCGGCAGGCCUAACACAUGCAAGUCGAACGAGUGGCGGACGGGUGAGUAAUGUCUGGGAAACUGCCUGAUGGAGGGGGAUAACUACUGGAAACGGUAGCUAAUAACGCAUACCAUCAGAUGUGCCCAGAUGGGAUUCGCUUGUUGGUGGGGUAACGGCUCACCAAGGCGACGAUCCCUAGCUGGUCUUAGAGGAUGACCAGCCACACUGGAACUGAGAAACGGUCCAGACUCCUGCGGGAGGCAGCAGUGUGGAAUAUUGGACAAUGGGCGACAGCCUGAUCCAGCCAUGCCGCGUUUUUGAAGAAGGUCUUCGGAUUGUAAAGCACUUUAAGUUGUGAGGCGUUACCAACAGAAUAAGCACCGGCUAACUUCGUGCCAGCAGCCGCGGUAAUAC